UACGGAGGGUGCGAGCGUUAAUCGGAAUUACUGGGCGUAAAGCGCAUGCAGGCGGUUAAUUAAGUCAGAUGUGAAAUCCCCGAGCUCAACUUGGGAGUGUCAUUUGAAACUGGUUAACUAGAGUAUUGUAGAGGGGGGUAGAAUUUCAGGUGUAGCGGUGAAAUGCGUAGAGAUCUGAAGGAAUACCGGUGGCGAAGGCG
Molecule: ribosomal RNA, 200 nt
Filed under: uncultured bacterium
Lineage: Bacteria
Description: partial 16S ribosomal RNA
Rfam family: Bacterial small subunit ribosomal RNA
Source: RNAcentral